GCCCCAGUCUUCCCGCGGUGUCUGCGGCGCGCACGCUCCUCGCACACAGCCCUGACUGAGGAACCUUUGUUAGCACGCGCCCCGCGCCGAGGGCUUCACAGAUUGAGACGGUUUACCCGGUGCAGAAGGCUGUAAAGGAGGUCUGGACUGGUGACUUUUGUGUGGGUCCCUUCGGGCGCCCUCCGGCUGCCCACGGGGUUUUCCCGGGCCGAGCUUCCGGGUCCUCCUCGUGGGAAGGGGCAGGACGACGCGGCGGACCGGACCUCGGACGGAGUGCGAUCCGGGCCUGGUUUGCUUCCACGCGGCUCCUCCGGUGGCUUCUCCCCCCACUCGUGCUGUGGUCUCUCCCAUCUGCUAAGGACAGAACUCCCUCCGCCGUGAGUAUUAACUCUUCCGAGGAUCACACGUUAAUGGAAGGGGUAGACCCUUUUCCCGUUAGCAUGACAUUGUAAAGCACUAGUGCUCCAGAAAGAAACCAAGAUUAUCCUUUGCAAGUAAAACAAGAUACCAAGAGAAUAUGUUAAAUCUCAGCAUUAUAAAAAAGGAAGAAAAAGAAGAGAACAACGUAAUACACAUUUUGGAAAAUACUGAAAGGAGAGGUGCCCUCUAGCCAGUGUGAGAUUACAGAUAAUCUUUACUGUGCUUUUAAACCAAAAUCUCCAAAUCUGGCCACCAUUUCCCGAAUUUUCUACAAUCAGUAUAAAUUAAUUUUAAACAUUAGUUUUUGUGAAACUGAGACUUCCUCAGUGGCCUCAUAUCUGGCCAAUUUUAGCAAACAAACCAUAUAUGUUAGAGGACAAUAUAUAAGGAAGACGUAGCCUCUGAUUCGGGAAUUUCUAAUUUGUCUUUCAUGUAUCUGAGUUUUAAAUAAUUUUGAAAUCCGUGUUGGGCUUGCUGUAUCAGGUUUUGAGAAGGAGAUUAAACUCUUUCACAUUAUGGGCUUGUACAUUAUUUCUUCUUAUUCUGUCAAUUUUUGUUUGGGAGAGUACCAAGCUCUGUUAUUACACACAUGAAGUUCACAGGCAUUUCUAUUAUGGAAAAAGUAGUUAAUAGGCACCUAAGACUUAAUACUUUUCUUUAAAUUAUACUCUGUGUGACAUUAAAAUUGCAUGACUUUUAUUAUUUGUGUUUUUCCUGCAUUAAAAAAUCUGCUUUUGAUACAUACCCCA
RNAcentral lists this long non-coding RNA (1169 nucleotides) under Fukomys damarensis (Damara mole-rat). Its description in RNAcentral is "lncRNA (ENSFDAG00000021766.1)". The record is from RNAcentral. Lineage: Eukaryota; Metazoa; Chordata; Mammalia; Rodentia; Bathyergidae.